UGGGUCUCGUAGCCAUAGCCUUUUGGAGACAUGUCUGAGAACCUGAGUCACUCACCCUGGAAGAGACGUCUAGAGAAACAUGGUGUCUGCCAACGGUGGAGCUGAAAUCGAUUCCCAGUUGGAAUCUGAGAUCUUCACAGGUGCCACGGGGCAGGAAGAUAAGACACUGUCCCUCCUUCACUUCUCUGCAGUUGUCCAGAGACAAGAUGAGGAUUAAAGUUGUAGGAGAAGCUAAUCAAGACAUUGGUGGGUCCAGAAGCUGCUCCCUGCCUCUGGGUGUGAGAGCAGAAAGUGGGCCAUCAUGGGGCAGAGCUGUGGGAGCUGCUGGGGUGGAGCUCGAGGACAGCUCUUCUGCAGGGUUAGGGUUAGCUUGCCUGCUGUCAGCACUGGGGCAGGCUCAACAGAUGUGACAGAUGGUCCUUUACUACAGGUGUUGGUCAAUGGUCCCAGGCAGAGAAAACAGGUACGUGCCAAGACGUACCAGUUAGCUAGCUACCUUGGCCCUUGGGAUAUCCAGUUUUAGAAAUUUUAGUUUCUUAAAAAAAAAAACAACAACAACAAAACAACAACAAAAAACAUCAUUCCUGAGCAUCAUAUUUAUAGUACCACUUUCAGGGACCAGGGUGGUUGCAUUGCCCUGGAAAAAGAUGCCAUUUUUAUCAUCACCCUGUUGGGAGGCGAUGAUGGAGAGACCCCGCCCCUGAGGUGAGUCCUGGCCAGGCAGAGAGCAGGGCAGAUUCCUGCCUGAGCCUCUGUUCAACUCUGGGAUCUAACUGCCAAGGUGCCUUUCAGCGGCACUCGAAAAUGACUGACAUGUCAGAUGCCCUCUGAAAGCAGCUUUGUGACCCAUUGCACAGAACCAGGACCUGAGCUCUUUGAGAGCCAAAUCACAGUGUCAUUGAGUUGCCGCUCAGGAUGACAUACUUUUCGCGAUGAUGUUCACACAAAGGAGAAGGUUUCAGAGAAAUCUGAAAAUUGGCAAGUGCCCUCUCUCGACCUUUUCAAAAAUAGUCUGAGUCACUUUCGCUUUCAGCCUCUGAACCGUGUUGAAUGAACCUUUUGUGCAGUUUACAGAAAGUGAGGAAGUGUUUGGCAAUCGAGAUAAAUCCGACCUCCGAACAGC
RNAcentral lists this long non-coding RNA (1123 nucleotides) under Marmota monax (woodchuck). Lineage: Eukaryota; Metazoa; Chordata; Mammalia; Rodentia; Sciuridae. The record is from RNAcentral.